AGUGAACGCUGGCGGUAGGCCUAACACAUGCAAGUCGAACGGCAGCACAGUAAGAGCUUGCUCUUACGGGUGGCGAGUGGCGGACGGGUGAGGAAUACAUCGGAAUCUACUUUUUCGUGGGGGAUAACGUAGGGAAACUUACGCUAAUACCGCAUACGACCUACGGGUGAAAGCAGGGGAUCUUCGGACCUUGCGCGAUCGAAUGAGCCGAUGUCGGAUUAGCUAGUUGGCGGGGUAAAGGCCCACCAAGGCGACGAUCCGUAGCUGGUCUGAGAGGAUGAUCAGCCACACUGGAACUGAGACACGGUCCAGACUCCUACGGGAGGCAGCAGUGGGGAAUAUUGGACAAUGGGCGCAAGCCUGAUCCAGCCAUACCGCGUGGGUGAAGAAGGCCUUCGGGUUGUAAAGCCCUUUUGUUGGGAAAGAAAAGCAGCAGGUUAAUACCCCGCUGUUCGGACGGUACCCAAAGAAUAAGCACCGGCUAACUUCGU
RNAcentral lists this ribosomal RNA (491 nucleotides) under uncultured bacterium. RNAcentral's name for it is "partial 16S ribosomal RNA". It matches the Rfam family "Bacterial small subunit ribosomal RNA", at positions 29 to 506 of the family's 1533-position model. The record is from RNAcentral.